GAUGAACGCUGGCGGCAUGCCUAAUACAUGCAAGUCGAACGAGAGGAAGGAAAGCUUGCUUUUCUGAAUCUAGUGGCGAACGGGUGAGUAACACGUAGGUAACCUGCCCGUGUGCCCGGGAUAACUUCUGGAAACGGAUGCUAAAACCGGAUAGGUAGCAGACAAGCAUUUGACUGCUAUUAAAGUGGCUAAGGCCAUGAACAUGGAUGGACCUGCGGUGCAUUAGCUAGUUGGUGAGGUAACGGCCCACCAAGGCGACGAUGCAUAGCCGGCCUGAGAGGGCGGACGGCCACAUUGGGACUGAGACACGGCCCAAACUCCUACGGGAGGCAGAAGUAGGGAAUUUUCGUCAAUGGGGGGAACCCUGAACGAGCAAUGCCGCGUGAGUGAGGAAGGUCUUCGGAUCGUAAAGCUCUGUUGUAAGAGAAAAACGACAUUCAUAGGGAAUGAUGAGUGAGUGAUGGUAUCUUACCAGAAAGUCACGGCUAACUACGUGCCAGCAGCCGCGGUAA
Molecule: ribosomal RNA, 512 nt
Filed under: uncultured bacterium
Lineage: Bacteria
Description: partial 16S ribosomal RNA
Rfam family: Bacterial small subunit ribosomal RNA
Source: RNAcentral